AUGCUCGCUUCGGCAGCACAUAUACUAAAAUUGGAACGAUACGGAGAUUAGCAUGGCUCCUGCGCAAGGAUGACACACAAAUUUGUGAAGCAUUCCGUAUUUUU
This is a small nuclear RNA of Chlorocebus sabaeus (green monkey), 104 nucleotides long. NCBI's taxonomy places the organism in Eukaryota, Metazoa, Chordata, Mammalia, Primates, Cercopithecidae. The record is from Ensembl.